This is a long non-coding RNA of Astyanax mexicanus (Mexican tetra), 507 nucleotides long. RefSeq lists it as uncharacterized. The transcript is spliced from 3 exons. Lineage: Eukaryota; Metazoa; Chordata; Actinopteri; Characiformes; Acestrorhamphidae. The record is from RefSeq and is a predicted model, not a curated record.
UACACGUUUUGGUACAUUACUGUCCUUUAACAAUUGGUUUUAAUGCUAGCUACAUUACAGCACAAUUAACAAUGCAGUCAGUAAAUUGUCCUAUUGGAAUUUCUUGCAGAUAGAGAAGUGUCCAGCACAGCUCAAACAACAGACGUCAAUUUUUGGGGGUCGUCAGAGCUGUGUGUGCGGGUACCACUGUGUAAAGACCACUAGUGAACAUACAUCUACUGUGCCAUGCACAUCAAGACAACCUGUGUGUUCCAGCCCCUCUUUACCCACACUCACAGUUUCCCAGCGACAAAUAUUUAAACCAUCUCGUUUUGGUGGAAAGCAUGUCGCUGCAGCAAAACCAGUGCUUAGUCAGGCCAGGCCUCCAACUAAGGUAUGGUUUAGUGCAUGGGCCACCACUCCGAUCUGUAAAGGGCCAGUCAGGGUGUAUGUUUUUAUUUCAACCAAGCAAUGACAUGUCCUAUAUAACCAACUGUUUAAAGGCUGAGACUAGCCGAUUAAGCAAGU